This 613-nucleotide ribosomal RNA is filed under the name uncultured bacterium. RNAcentral's name for it is "bacterial SSU rRNA". The stretch from base 1 to 521 matches the Rfam family "Bacterial small subunit ribosomal RNA", at positions 338 to 873 of the family's 1533-position model. The record is from RNAcentral.
CCUACGGGAGGCAGCAGUGGGGAAUAUUGGGCAAUGGAGGAAACUCUGACCCAGCGACGCCGCGCGCGGGAUGAAGGCCUUCGGGUUGUAAACCGCUUUCAGCAGGGAAGAAGCGAAAGUGACGGUACCUGCAGAAGAAGCACCGGCUAACUAUGUGCCAGCAGCCGCGGUAAUACAUAGGGUGCAAGCGUUGUCCGGAAUUAUUGGGCGUAAAGAGCUCGUAGGUGGUUCGUCACGUCGGAUGUGAAAAUCUGGGGCUUAACCCCAGACCUGCAUUCGAUACGGGCGAGCUUGAGUAUGGUAGGGGAGUCUGGAAUUCCUGGUGUAGCGGUGGAAUGCGCAGAUAUCAGGAGGAACACCAAUGGCGAAGGCAGGACUCUGGGCCAUUACUGACACUGAGGAGCGAAAGCGUGGGGAGCGAACAGGAUUAGAUACCCUGGUAGUCCACGCCGUAAACGGUGGGCACUAGUUGUGGGGACCUUCCACGGUCUCUGCGACGCNGCUACGCAUAAGUGCCCGCCGUCGGGAGGUACGAGCGCGAGAAGUUAAACUACUUAAAUUAGUAAGUUAGUUACGGCGUUGAGACGUGCGAGGACGACGACGAGGGAGGAGG